UGAAAUCAAACGUUAUGUCAUGCAUUUCGAACAAAGAAAAUGUCCGCCUACGGUCACGCCAAUAAGUGUUUACAGGUCGGUAACUUCGUAUUCAAAGGAAAAUGCUUAGUCAACAGAUUUUCCAAUCAAGUUCGACUUUGUUAUAUUUUUUUCUGGCUUCAAAGGUAGGCAGUCAGCGCACAACGUCUUGUACAAAGAGGAGAUUAGCAUUUUGUCUUUACACGUUUUAGGGGAGACGGAUAAAGUGAUCAUGAAAGAGAUGAACGACGAUCUACUGCAGUAUUUCAAGGCACCUACAGUGUUGGAACACGAAGGAGGUCACUUCAUACCAGUAUCAGGUCUACAGAAACCAGUGUACACUGACUUUCUGCAGAAAAAGAUGUCCAGAUGAUCUGGGUUGAACUGUAGUUGCAUUGAUUAGCGUGUAGCUUUAAUUUGUUAACCUGUAAUCACUCAGAUACGAAUUUUGACGUGCUUGUAGUGCCUUAGAAAAUGAAAUUAAAUGUAAGACCUUU
Long non-coding RNA from Dreissena polymorpha, 515 nucleotides. RefSeq lists it as uncharacterized. The record is from RefSeq and is a predicted model, not a curated record. NCBI's taxonomy places the organism in Eukaryota, Metazoa, Mollusca, Bivalvia, Myida, Dreissenidae. The transcript has 3 exons.